RNAcentral lists this ribosomal RNA (397 nucleotides) under uncultured Latescibacterota bacterium. RNAcentral describes it as "bacterial SSU rRNA". It matches the Rfam family "Bacterial small subunit ribosomal RNA", at positions 987 to 1382 of the family's 1533-position model. Lineage: Bacteria; Pseudomonadati; Candidatus Latescibacterota. The record is from RNAcentral.
UGCAGGUGAUCGCCGUUGAAAGACGGUUUCCUCUUCGGAGGCACCUGCACAGGUGCUGCAUGGCUGUCGUCAGCUCGUGUCGUGAGAUGUUCGGGUUAAGUCCCGCAACCGAGCGCAACCCUUAUCCCCAGUUGCCAUCAGGUAAAGCUGGGAACUCUGGGGAGACUGCCGGUGAUAAACCGGAGGAAGGCGGGGAUGACGUCAAGUCCUCAUGGCCCUUACAUCCCGGGCUCCACACGUGCUACAAUGGCAGGUACAGAGGGCUGCGAAGCCGCGAGGUGGAGCCAAUCCCAAAACCGGCCCAGUUCAGAUUGCAGUCUGCAACUCGACUGCAUGAAGUCGGAAUCGCUAGUAAAGGCGUAUCAGCAACGACGCCUUGAAUACGUUCCCGGGCCUU